RNAcentral lists this ribosomal RNA (466 nucleotides) under uncultured bacterium. Its description in RNAcentral is "partial 16S ribosomal RNA". It matches the Rfam family "Bacterial small subunit ribosomal RNA", at positions 28 to 507 of the family's 1533-position model. The record is from RNAcentral.
GAUGAACGCUGGCGGCGUGCUUAACACAUGCAAGUCGAACGGAAAGGCCCAAGCUUGCUUGGGUACUCGAGUGGCGAACGGGUGAGUAACACGUGGGUGAUCUGCCCUGCACUUCGGGAUAAGCCUGGGAAACUGGGUCUAAUACCGGAUAGGACCACAUUUUGGAUGGUGUGGUGGAAAGUUUUUCGGUGUGGGAUGAGCUCGCGGCCUAUCAGCUUGUUGGUGGGGUAAUGGCCUACCAAGGCGUCGACGGGUAGCCGGCCUGAGAGGGUGUACGGCCACAUUGGGGCUGAGAUACGGCCCAGACUCCUACGGGAAGCAGCAGUGGGGAAUAUUGCACAAUGGGCGCAAGCCUGAUGCAGCGACGCCGCGUGGGGGAUGACGGCCUUCGGGUUGUAAACUCCGUUCGCUAGGGACGAAGCGUUAUGUGACGGUACCUGGAGAAGAAGCACCGGCUAACUACGUG